RNAcentral lists this ribosomal RNA (253 nucleotides) under uncultured bacterium. RNAcentral's name for it is "partial 16S ribosomal RNA". It matches the Rfam family "Bacterial small subunit ribosomal RNA", at positions 524 to 776 of the family's 1533-position model. The record is from RNAcentral.
UACGUAGGGUGCAAGCGUUGUCCGGAAUUAUUGGGCGUAAAGAGCUCGUAGGCGGUCUGUCGCGUCUGCUGUGAAAACCCGAGGCUCAACCUCGGGCCUGCAGUGGGUACGGGCAGACUAGAGUGCGGUAGGGGAGACUGGAAUUCCUGGUGUAGCGGUGAAAUGCGCAGAUAUCAGGAGGAACACCGGUGGCGAAGGCGGGUCUCUGGGCCGAUACUGACGCUGAGGAGCGAAAGCGUGGGGAGCGAACAGG